Dictyocaulus viviparus (bovine lungworm) is the source of this 73-nucleotide non-coding RNA. NCBI's taxonomy places the organism in Eukaryota, Metazoa, Nematoda, Chromadorea, Rhabditida, Metastrongylidae. The record is from Rfam.
GUCUCGGUAAUGUAAUGCAUCAGCACGGCAGAAUGGAUAUCUGUAAGUACGGGUUCGAGUCCCGCCUGAGGUU